Molecule: ribosomal RNA, 398 nt
Filed under: bacterium enrichment culture clone ALO1_GLFRUDD03G3JHT
Lineage: Bacteria
Description: bacterial SSU rRNA
Rfam family: Bacterial small subunit ribosomal RNA
Source: RNAcentral
GAGUUUGAUCUUGGCUCAGAUUGAACGCUGGCGGCAUGCCUUACACAUGCAAGUCGAACGGCAGCACGGGAGCUUGCUCCUGGUGGCGAGUGGCGAACGGGUGAGUAGUGCAUCGGAACGUAUCCUGGAGUGGGGGAUAACGUAGCGAAAGUUACGCUAAUACCGCAUAUUCUGUGAGCAGGAAAGCGGGGGACCUUCGGGCCUCGCGCUCUUGGAGCGGCCGAUGUCGGAUUAGCUAGUUGGUGAGGUAAAGGCUCACCAAGGCGACGAUCCGUAGCAGGUCUGAGAGGAUGAUCUGCCACACUGGAACUGAGACACGGUCCAGACUCCUACGGGAGGCAGCAGUGGGGAAUUUUGGACAAUGGGGGCAACCCUGAUCCAGCCAUGCCGCGUGAGUG